This is a long non-coding RNA of Tympanuchus pallidicinctus (lesser prairie-chicken), 846 nucleotides long. RefSeq lists it as uncharacterized. The record is from RefSeq and is a predicted model, not a curated record. NCBI's taxonomy places the organism in Eukaryota, Metazoa, Chordata, Aves, Galliformes, Phasianidae. The transcript has 4 exons.
CCUACUUCUGUAGGGUCUGUGAAACGUCUGAAAUUCUUAUCCUGUUUGCUGGACAAAACUAACUUGUGUGCCUGGAAAGCUGUGCAGAGGAAAAGGAUCUGGAGGUGUUAGCUGAUAGCUGAACACAAAGCAGUGGUGUGCCCAGGUGGCCAAGAAGUACUGCUGCCAGCGGAAGCGGGGAGGAAAUCAUCCCUCUGUACUCAGCUCUGUGAGGCUCCUUCCUGGUCUAUUGGCAGGCAGUGCUGCAGGCUGAGCCACCUUAGUGCUUGAGGAUUGGACACAAAGUCUUGAGGUUUUGUUGUGCUGCCUGCUGCAAGAGAAGAGGAGCCUGGCCUCAACUCACUGCCUUGCGGCGGAAAGAAGGAUGAAAAUUGAAUAUUGUCACAAGAGAAAAGCCUGUAUGUCUCCCUGAUGUGGAACUGUGGGCAAAACGAUCUGUAGGCCUAUGGAGCAAGAAGAAAGAUUCAUUUCUCUUUACACAUGACAUACAGAGGGAACAAGUUACAUGAGUAAGUAACAGAGCACAGUCUCCAGGAGAGGCACUGGGCCGCUUUUGCUUUUCCUCCAUGAAUUGCAACACUGAAAACCAUUUAAAAAUUUCCCAGUAUUCUUGUAUUACCAAUGGUGAAUCUUUGCAUCUCAUUUUCCACCUUGUGAUUGUCAGUAUUCUCUCUUGCUCUGUUUCCUACUGUGAAUACAAAACUUGCAUUUAGAAAUUACAGAAAGAAAAUGAUAGUUUGAUUUCUUCUGUUACGGUCUCUGAAUAGAUUGUGUAAGUGUAUGUGAACUCCUUUUUUUUUUAAAUAUUUUCCUACUGUGUGUCUUCAAGUAGGACAUGGUCAGAUA